GAGAGAUCUGGACCAGUGAAUAUAAAUGCUAACCCUCGGAUAUGGCGUUCUGAAUGUCGGCGCACUUCGCGACGACGUUAUGGUCGUUGAUGCCUUCCUCUUCCUCUAUCAAGUGAUCGUUGUAUCCAUUCUUGCCAUUUUUGCUUCCCAGAGACAACUCGGCGUGUUCCGGUGAGACCUUCACACGCGAAACAAGGAACCACUGCACGAGCGAAAACACUAUACCAAUAACUGCGCACACCGGGAUCGCGAUCUCCGUCCCCAGAUCUGACAGCAGCGCCGCCCCCAUUCUCGCCGGAACCCUCGCCGAAAAUUUGUUAAAUAGAAAUGAAAAAAAUAAAAGACAAUGGAAGUGAGUCAAAAAUUUGGAGAGAAACAGUCACGGCUAUAUGGAGGGUUUGAAAAGUGAGAUUUGAGCGAACAUUUAUAAUACUUGUAGGAGUGAUUUCAGAUUCCCGGAAAUAGGUGGAGUUCUACAGUGUUAUAGGACUACGGAAGAUCAAAUGCACCUGCAGUGUUUUGAAAAAUACUUAAAAAAAUUUGCUGUUUGUACAUUCAGACUGGACAACUCGGAUGAUAACCCCUCCCGAGAGCAGGGAUUCGCACUUGAUAAAAUAACCGCACAACCCCCUCUUGUGAGAGGGUUGCCAUCUGGGCUGUCAAGCCCUGGAUGUACAAACAACAAAAUCGAACUUAUUGUAUAUUACUAUUUAUAUAAUCAUUUACAAAAUGAUAAGAUAUCAAGAAGAAAGUGGGGAAAAAUAUUUAUUUGGU
This 774-nucleotide long non-coding RNA is filed under the name Olea europaea subsp. europaea. The record is from RNAcentral. Lineage: Eukaryota; Viridiplantae; Streptophyta; Magnoliopsida; Lamiales; Oleaceae.